This 254-nucleotide ribosomal RNA is filed under the name uncultured bacterium. RNAcentral's name for it is "partial 16S ribosomal RNA". It matches the Rfam family "Bacterial small subunit ribosomal RNA", at positions 524 to 776 of the family's 1533-position model. The record is from RNAcentral.
GACGAACCGUGCGACCGUUAUUCGGAAUCACUGGGCUUAAAGCGCGUGUAGGCGGGCGGGCACGUCGGAACCUGAAAGCCCCCGGCUCAACCGGGGAAGCGGGGCCGAAACGACCCGUCUGGAGGGACGUAGGGGGAUCUGGAACUUCCGGUGGAGCGGUGAAAUGCGUUGAGAUCGGAAGGAACGCCCGUGGCGAAAGCGAGAUCCUGGACGUCUACUGACGCUGAGACGCGAAAGCUAGGGGAGCGAACGGG